Molecule: ribosomal RNA, 501 nt
Filed under: Adelphobates castaneoticus (Brazil-nut poison frog)
Lineage: Eukaryota; Metazoa; Chordata; Amphibia; Anura; Dendrobatidae
Description: partial 16S ribosomal RNA
Rfam family: Bacterial large subunit ribosomal RNA
Source: RNAcentral
ACAUNGUUUAACGGCCGCGGUACCCUAACCGUGCGAAGGUAGCGUAAUCACUUGUUCUUNAAUUGAGGACUAGUAUGAAUGGCUUAACGAAGACUAUACUGUCUCCUUUUUCUAAUCAAUGAAACUAAUCUCCCCGUGAAGAAGCGGGGAUAAAUUUAUAAGACGAGAAGACCCUAUGGAGCUUUAAACAACCGAAAUAUCUGCUUUUCAACUCUAUUUACCUCCCGAGAAUUAAAUUUACUCUAAGCACUUUAAUUUCUAGUUUAGGUUGGGGUGACCACGGAGCAAAAAUUAACCUCCACGCUGAAAUUUGAGCCCACUUCUUAGCUUUAAAAUCACAAUUUUAAACAUCAACAUAUUGACUUCCAUUGACCCAAUUUUUUGACCAACGAACCAAGUUACCCUAGGGAUAACAGCGCAAUCUACUUCAAGAGUUCUUAUCGACAAGUAGGCUUNCGACCUCGAAUGUUGGAUCAGGGUAUCCUAGUGGUGCAGCCGCUA